GUAGGGAAUAUUGGGCAAUGGUCGGAAGACUGACCCAGCCAUGCCGCGUGCAGGAAGACGGCCCUCUGGGUUGUAAACUGCUUUUAUCUGGGAAGAAAAAGGCCAUGCGUGGCAAAUUGCCGGUACCAGAUGAAUAAGCACCGGCUAACUCCGUGCCAGCAGCCGCGGUAAUACGGAGGGUGCGAGCGUUGUCCGGAUUUAUUGGGUUUAAAGGGUGCGUAGGCGGCUGAUUAAGUCAGCGGUGAAAGACUUCGGCUUAACCGGAGCAGUGCCGUUGAUACUGGUUGGCGUGAGUGUAGGAGGGGUACAUGGAAUUGAUGGUGUAGCGGUGAAAUGCAUAGAUACCAUCAGGAACACCGAUAGCGAAGGCAGUGUACUGGCCGACAACUGACGCUGAUGCACGAAAGUGUGGGGAUCGAACAGGAUUAGAAACCCGUGUAGUCC
This 444-nucleotide ribosomal RNA is filed under the name uncultured bacterium. RNAcentral's name for it is "partial 16S ribosomal RNA". It matches the Rfam family "Bacterial small subunit ribosomal RNA", at positions 354 to 796 of the family's 1533-position model. The record is from RNAcentral.